RNAcentral lists this ribosomal RNA (527 nucleotides) under uncultured fungus. Its description in RNAcentral is "SSU rRNA". It matches the Rfam family "Eukaryotic small subunit ribosomal RNA", at positions 569 to 1092 of the family's 1831-position model. Lineage: Eukaryota; Fungi. The record is from RNAcentral.
CGCAGCCGCGGUAAUUCCAGCUCCAAUAGCGUAUAUUAAAGUUGUUGCAGUUAAAAAGCUCGUAGUUGAAUUUCGGGAUUGACGUGAUGGUCGUGCCUUACGGGGUAUGAACUGUCGCAGUUGAUUCUCACCUUCUGGAGAAGCUCGAUGUCCUUAAUUGGGUGUCUUGCGGAACCAGGACCUUUACCUUGAAAAAAUUAGAGUGUUUAAAGCAGGCAUUUUGCUCGAAUACAUUAGCAUGGAAUAAUAGAAUAGGACGGCAUGGUUCUAUUUUGUUGGUUUCUAGUAUCACCGUAAUGAUUAAUAGGGAUAGUUGGGGGCAUUAGUAUUCAAUUGUCAGAGGUGAAAUUCUUGGAUUUAUUGAAGACUAACUACUGCGAAAGCAUUUGCCAAGGAUGUUUUCAUUAAUCAAGAACGAAAGUUAGGGGAUCGAAGACGAUCAGAUACCGUCGUAGUCUUAACCAUAAACUAUGCCGACUAGGGAUCGGAUGAUGUUAAUUUUUUAAUGACUCAUUCGGCGCCUUACG